Molecule: ribosomal RNA, 492 nt
Filed under: uncultured bacterium
Lineage: Bacteria
Description: partial 16S ribosomal RNA
Rfam family: Bacterial small subunit ribosomal RNA
Source: RNAcentral
AGUGAACGCUGGCGGUAGGCCUAACACAUGCAAGUCGAACGGCAGCACAGUAAGAGCUUGCUCUUACGGGUGGCGAGUGGCGGACGGGUGAGGAAUACAUCGGAAUCUACUUUUUCGUGGGGGAUAACGUAGGGAAACUUACGCUAAUACCGCAUACGACCUACGGGUGAAAGCAGGGGAUUUUCGGACCUUGCGCGAUUGAAUGAGCCGAUGUCGGAUUAGCUAGUUGGCGGGGUAAAGGCCCACCAAGGCGACGAUCCGUAGCUGGUCUGAGAGGAUGAUCAGCCACACAGGAACUGAGGCACGGUCCAGACUCCUACGGGAGGCAGCAGUGGGGAAUAUUGGGCAAUGGGCGCAAGCCUGAUCCAGCCAUACCGCGUGGGUGAAGAAGGCCUUCGGGUUGUAAAGCCCUUUUGUUGGGAAAGAAAAGCAGCAGGUUAAUACCCCGCUGUUCUGACGGUACCCAAAGAAUAAGCACCGGCUAACUUCGUG